RNAcentral lists this ribosomal RNA (1483 nucleotides) under uncultured bacterium. Its description in RNAcentral is "bacterial SSU rRNA". It matches the Rfam family "Bacterial small subunit ribosomal RNA". The record is from RNAcentral.
AGAGUUUGAUCCUGGCUCAGGAUGAACGCUGGCGGCGUGCUUAACACAUGCAAGUCGAACGGUGAAGCCAAGCUUGCUUGGUGGAUCAGUGGCGAACGGGUGAGUAACACGUGAGCAACCUGCCCUGGACUCUGGGAUAAGCGCUGGAAACGGCGUCUAAUACUGGAUAUGAGCUCUCAUCGCAUGGUGGGGGUUGGAAAGAUUUUUCGGUCUGGGAUGGGCUCGCGGCCUAUCAGCUUGUUGGUGAGGUAAUGGCUCACCAAGGCGUCGACGGGUAGCCGGCCUGAGAGGGUGACCGGCCACACUGGGACUGAGACACGGCCCAGACUCCUACGGGAGGCAGCAGUGGGGAAUAUUGCACAAUGGGCGGAAGCCUGAUGCAGCAACGCCGCGUGAGGGAUGACGGCCUUCGGGUUGUAAACCUCUUUUAGCAGGGAAGAAGCGUGAGUGACGGUACCUGCAGAAAAAGCGCCGGCUAACUACGUGCCAGCAGCCGCGGUAAUACGUAGGGCGCAAGCGUUAUCCGGAAUUAUUGGGCGUAAAGAGCUCGUAGGCGGUUUGUCGCGUCUGCUGUGAAAUCCCGAGGCUCAACCUCGGGCCUGCAGUGGGUACGGGCAGACUAGAGUGCGGUAGGGGAGAUUGGAAUUCCUGGUGUAGUGGUGGAAUGCGCAGAUAUCAGGAGGAACACCGAUGGCGAAGGCAGAUCUCUGGGCCGUAACUGACGCUGAGGAGCGAAAGGGUGGGGAGCAAACAGGCUUAGAUACCCUGGUAGUCCACCCCGUAAACGUUGGGAACUAGUUGUGGGGACCAUUCCACGGUUUCCGUGACGCAGCUAACGCAUUAAGUUCCCCGCCUGGGGAGUACGGCCGCAAGGCUAAAACUCAAAGGAAUUGACGGGGACCCGCACAAGCGGCGGAGCAUGCGGAUUAAUUCGAUGCAACGCGAAGAACCUUACCAAGGCUUGACAUAUACGAGAACGGGCCAGAAAUGGUCAACUCUUUGGACACUCGUAAACAGGUGGUGCAUGGUUGUCGUCAGCUCGUGUCGUGAGAUGUUGGGUUAAGUCCCGCAACGAGCGCAACCCUCGUUCUAUGUUGCCAGCACGUAAUGGUGGGAACUCAUGGGAUACUGCCGGGGUCAACUCGGAGGAAGGUGGGGAUGACGUCAAAUCAUCAUGCCCCUUAUGUCUUGGGCUUCACGCAUGCUACAAUGGCCGGUACAAAGGGCUGCAAUACCGUGAGGUGGAGCGAAUCCCAAAAAGCCGGUCCCAGUUCGGAUUGAGGUCUGCAACUCGACCUCAUGAAGUCGGAGUCGCUAGUAAUCGCAGAUCAGCAACGCUGCGGUGAAUACGUUCCCGGGUCUUGUACACACCGCCCGUCAAGUCAUGAAAGUCGGUAACACCUGAAGCCGGUGGCCCAACCCUUGUGGAGGGAGCCGUCGAAGGUGGGAUCGGUAAUUAGGACUAAGUCGUAACAAGGUAACC